This 2904-nucleotide ribosomal RNA is filed under the name Escherichia coli. RNAcentral's name for it is "23S ribosomal RNA". It matches the Rfam family "Bacterial large subunit ribosomal RNA". The record is from RNAcentral. Lineage: Bacteria; Pseudomonadati; Pseudomonadota; Gammaproteobacteria; Enterobacterales; Enterobacteriaceae.
GGUUAAGCGACUAAGCGUACACGGUGGAUGCCCUGGCAGUCAGAGGCGAUGAAGGACGUGCUAAUCUGCGAUAAGCGUCGGUAAGGUGAUAUGAACCGUUAUAACCGGCGAUUUCCGAAUGGGGAAACCCAGUGUGUUUCGACACACUAUCAUUAACUGAAUCCAUAGGUUAAUGAGGCGAACCGGGGGAACUGAAACAUCUAAGUACCCCGAGGAAAAGAAAUCAACCGAGAUUCCCCCAGUAGCGGCGAGCGAACGGGGAGCAGCCCAGAGCCUGAAUCAGUGUGUGUGUUAGUGGAAGCGUCUGGAAAGGCGCGCGAUACAGGGUGACAGCCCCGUACACAAAAAUGCACAUAUUGUGAGCUCGAUGAGUAGGGCGGGACACGUGGUAUCCUGUCUGAAUAUGGGGGGACCAUCCUCCAAGGCUAAAUACUCCUGACUGACCGAUAGUGAACCAGUACCGUGAGGGAAAGGCGAAAAGAACCCCGGCGAGGGGAGUGAAAAAGAACCUGAAACCGUGUACGUACAAGCAGUGGGAGCACGCUUAGGCGUGUGACUGCGUACCUUUUGUAUAAUGGGUCAGCGACUUAUAUUCUGUAGCAAGGUUAACCGAAUAGGGGAGCCGAAGGGAAACCGAGUCUUAACUGGGCGUUAAGUUGCAGGGUAUAGACCCGAAACCCGGUGAUCUAGCCAUGGGCAGGUUGAAGGUUGGGUAACACUAACUGGAGGACCGAACCGACUAAUGUUGAAAAAUUAGCGGAUGACUUGUGGCUGGGGGUGAAAGGCCAAUCAAACCGGGAGAUAGCUGGUUCUCCCCGAAAGCUAUUUAGGUAGCGCCUCGUGAAUUCAUCUCCGGGGGUAGAGCACUGUUUCGGCAAGGGGGUCAUCCCGACUUACCAACCCGAUGCAAACUGCGAAUACCGGAGAAUGUUAUCACGGGAGACACACGGCGGGUGCUAACGUCCGUCGUGAAGAGGGAAACAACCCAGACCGCCAGCUAAGGUCCCAAAGUCAUGGUUAAGUGGGAAACGAUGUGGGAAGGCCCAGACAGCCAGGAUGUUGGCUUAGAAGCAGCCAUCAUUUAAAGAAAGCGUAAUAGCUCACUGGUCGAGUCGGCCUGCGCGGAAGAUGUAACGGGGCUAAACCAUGCACCGAAGCUGCGGCAGCGACGCUUAUGCGUUGUUGGGUAGGGGAGCGUUCUGUAAGCCUGUGAAGGUGUGCUGUGAGGUAUGCUGGAGGUAUCAGAAGUGCGAAUGCUGACAUAAGUAACGAUAAAGCGGGUGAAAAGCCCGCUCGCCGGAAGACCAAGGGUUCCUGUCCAACGUUAAUCGGGGCAGGGUGAGUCGACCCCUAAGGCGAGGCCGAAAGGCGUAGUCGAUGGGAAACAGGUUAAUAUUCCUGUACUUGGUGUUACUGCGAAGGGGGGACGGAGAAGGCUAUGUUGGCCGGGCGACGGUUGUCCCGGUUUAAGCGUGUAGGCUGGUUUUCCAGGCAAAUCCGGAAAAUCAAGGCUGAGGCGUGAUGACGAGGCACUACGGUGCUGAAGCAACAAAUGCCCUGCUUCCAGGAAAAGCCUCUAAGCAUCAGGUAACAUCAAAUCGUACCCCAAACCGACACAGGUGGUCAGGUAGAGAAUACCAAGGCGCUUGAGAGAACUCGGGUGAAGGAACUAGGCAAAAUGGUGCCGUAACUUCGGGAGAAGGCACGCUGAUAUGUAGGUGAAGUCCCUUGCGGAUGGAGCUGAAAUCAGUCGAAGAUACCAGCUGGCUGCAACUGUUUAUUAAAAACACAGCACUGUGCAAACACGAAAGUGGACGUAUACGGUGUGACGCCUGCCCGGUGCCGGAAGGUUAAUUGAUGGGGUUAGCGCAAGCGAAGCUCUUGAUCGAAGCCCCGGUAAACGGCGGCCGUAACUAUAACGGUCCUAAGGUAGCGAAAUUCCUUGUCGGGUAAGUUCCGACCUGCACGAAUGGCGUAAUGAUGGCCAGGCUGUCUCCACCCGAGACUCAGUGAAAUUGAACUCGCUGUGAAGAUGCAGUGUACCCGCGGCAAGACGGAAAGACCCCGUGAACCUUUACUAUAGCUUGACACUGAACAUUGAGCCUUGAUGUGUAGGAUAGGUGGGAGGCUUAGAAGUGUGGACGCCAGUCUGCAUGGAGCCGACCUUGAAAUACCACCCUUUAAUGUUUGAUGUUCUAACGUUGACCCGUAAUCCGGGUUGCGGACAGUGUCUGGUGGGUAGUUUGACUGGGGCGGUCUCCUCCUAAAGAGUAACGGAGGAGCACGAAGGUUGGCUAAUCCUGGUCGGACAUCAGGAGGUUAGUGCAAUGGCAUAAGCCAGCUUGACUGCGAGCGUGACGGCGCGAGCAGGUGCGAAAGCAGGUCAUAGUGAUCCGGUGGUUCUGAAUGGAAGGGCCAUCGCUCAACGGAUAAAAGGUACUCCGGGGAUAACAGGCUGAUACCGCCCAAGAGUUCAUAUCGACGGCGGUGUUUGGCACCUCGAUGUCGGCUCAUCACAUCCUGGGGCUGAAGUAGGUCCCAAGGGUAUGGCUGUUCGCCAUUUAAAGUGGUACGCGAGCUGGGUUUAGAACGUCGUGAGACAGUUCGGUCCCUAUCUGCCGUGGGCGCUGGAGAACUGAGGGGGGCUGCUCCUAGUACGAGAGGACCGGAGUGGACGCAUCACUGGUGUUCGGGUUGUCAUGCCAAUGGCACUGCCCGGUAGCUAAAUGCGGAAGAGAUAAGUGCUGAAAGCAUCUAAGCACGAAACUUGCCCCGAGAUGAGUUCUCCCUGACCCUUUAAGGGUCCUGAAGGAACGUUGAAGACGACGACGUUGAUAGGCCGGGUGUGUAAGCGCAGCGAUGCGUUGAGCUAACCGGUACUAAUGAACCGUGAGGCUUAACCUU